GACGAACGCUGGCGGCGUGGAUUAGGCAUGCAAGUCGAACGGUAUCAUCCUUUCGGGGGUGAGAGAGUGGCGAACUGGUGAGUAACACGUAGGUUAUCUACCCUCAAGACGGGGACAACCCAGGGAAACUUGGGCUAAUACCGGAUGUGAGCAACUUUUAGUUGUUUGAAAGGUGGCGUAAGCUGUCGCUUGGGGAUGAGCCUGCGUCCUAUUAGUUAGUUGGUGAGGUAACGGCUCACCUAGGCAAUGAUAGGUAGGUGGCCUUAACGGGUGGUCGCCCACACUGGGAUUGAGAUACGGCCCAGACUCCUACGGGAGGCAGCAGUCGAGAAUAGUCUACAAUGGUCGGAAGACUGAUAGUGCGACGCCGCGUGAACGAUGAAUCCCUUCGGGGUGUAAAGUUCUUUUAUAUGUGAGCAGUGCUUCUUAUAUUAACAGUAUGGGGAGAGAGAUAUUAGCAUAUGAAUAAGCAACGGCUAACUCCGUGCCAGCAGCCGCGGUAAUCU
This 506-nucleotide ribosomal RNA is filed under the name uncultured bacterium. RNAcentral describes it as "bacterial SSU rRNA". It matches the Rfam family "Bacterial small subunit ribosomal RNA", at positions 28 to 526 of the family's 1533-position model. The record is from RNAcentral.